Molecule: ribosomal RNA, 550 nt
Filed under: Pseudomonas syringae
Lineage: Bacteria; Pseudomonadati; Pseudomonadota; Gammaproteobacteria; Pseudomonadales; Pseudomonadaceae
Description: bacterial SSU rRNA
Rfam family: Bacterial small subunit ribosomal RNA
Source: RNAcentral
ACGGGUGAGUAAUGCCUAGGAAUCUGCCUGGUAGUGGGGGACAACGUUUCGAAAGGAACGCUAAUACCGCAUACGUCCUACGGGAGAAAGCAGGGGACCUUCGGGCCUUGCGCUAUCAGAUGAGCCUAGGUCGGAUUAGCUAGUUGGUGGGGUAAUGGCUCACCAAGGCGACGAUCCGUAACUGGUCUGAGAGGAUGAUCAGUCACACUGGAACUGAGACACGGUCCAGACUCCUACGGGAGGCAGCAGUGGGGAAUAUUGGACAAUGGGCGAAAGCCUGAUCCAGCCAUGCCGCGUGUGUGAAGAAGGUCUUCGGAUUGUAAAGCACUUUAAGUUGGGAGGAAGGGCAGUAAGUUAAUACCUUGCUGUUUUGACGUUACCGACAGAAUAAGCACCGGCUAACUCUGUGCCAGCAGCCGCGGUAAUACAGAGGGUGCAAGCGUUAAUCGGAAUUACUGGGCGUAAAGCGCGCGUAGGUGGUUCGUUAAGUUGGAUGUGAAAGCCCCGGGCUCAACCUGGGAACUGCAUCCAAAACUGGCGAGCUAGAGUA